CACCCAGCUGUUCUUGGUUUUGUUCUGACAUGAAUUGAAUCAGAGUGAGCCGAUGUUCUGAGCACAGACGGUCCAAUCCUGACCCAGGUGAGCCUCAGCCCAACAGUCCAAGCAGAGAGGCCUGUAACGCUUCAGCUUAUCACACAUUUGAUGUCCAUGUGUGACGACUGCAAGUGUCCAGAGUGAGGACAGACUGAGGGACCCACUGCUGCACAUCAUCUGUGAGGCUUUGCAGCCCUGAUGAUCCACCAGGACAAACUCGGCAGUGUGUGAGGAAGAGGAGGAGGAAGAGCCAGCAGCAGCUGACAGAUGGAGAGAAUAGACAGACUGUUCCCUGUUUGUGAAGGACUGCUAGGAAAGUUUAACAGAACUGUCUGUGCUGAAUCAGUCUUAUUAGGUAAUGUUCACAUAAUGUGAUCAUCCCAGUGUUUCCAGUGUGGGAGAAAGUACUCAGAGUACUCAGGGCCUUCAAGCUACACACUAUGAAAGGCAGCAACAAGUUUAAUGUUCAGAAACCUAAAGUCUGUAUCAGCAGCAGAAUGGAGCUAAAAUAAAUGUUGGUUUCAGUUCUAUGAAGCUUUGAGUAUUUUGGAUCAGUAGCUGCUGUGUUUGUUGCAUCAUAUUGCUGUAACUGUUUAUAUGCUUUAUAUAUUCUGAGCUAAGUUGAUCUAUAGUGUUACAUCAUAUUCUAUAAGGAUGUUAUGUGUUUGUAGACUUUCUGCCCAGUUUGACCCAUUUAGCAGACGUCAGCCUGUUUAAGGCUCUGAUGUCUAUUCGGUGUGACUUACAGCAGUUAUGACAUGGUCUGAUUUUCUCACCCA
Long non-coding RNA from Astatotilapia calliptera (eastern happy), 821 nucleotides. Lineage: Eukaryota; Metazoa; Chordata; Actinopteri; Cichliformes; Cichlidae. The record is from Ensembl.